GAUGAACGCUGGCGGCGUGCCUAAUACAUGCAAGUCGAGCGAACAGACGAGGAGCUUGCUCCUCUGACGUUAGCGGCGGACGGGUGAGUAACACGUGGAUAACCUACCUAUAAUACUGGGAUAACUUCGGGAAACCGGCGCUAAUACCGGAUAAUAUAUUGAACCGCAUGGUUCAAUAGUGAAAUACGGUUUUGCUGUCUCUUAUAGAUGGAUCCGCGCCGCAUUAGCUAGUUGGUAAGGUAACGGCUUACCAAGGCGACGAUGCGUAGACGAACUGAGAGGGGGAUCGGCCACACUGGAACUGAGACACGGUCCAGACUCCUACGGGAGGCAGCAGUAGGGAAUCUUACGCAAUGGGCGAAAGCCUGACGGAGCAACGCCGAGUGAGUGAUGAAGGUCUUCGGAUCGUAAAACUCUGUUAUUAGGGAAGAACAAAUGUGUAAGUAACUAUGCACGUCUUGACGGUAACUAAUCAGAAAGCCACGGCUAACUACGUG
This 497-nucleotide ribosomal RNA is filed under the name uncultured bacterium. RNAcentral describes it as "partial 16S ribosomal RNA". It matches the Rfam family "Bacterial small subunit ribosomal RNA", at positions 28 to 507 of the family's 1533-position model. The record is from RNAcentral.